RNAcentral lists this ribosomal RNA (386 nucleotides) under uncultured bacterium. RNAcentral describes it as "bacterial SSU rRNA". It matches the Rfam family "Bacterial small subunit ribosomal RNA", at positions 28 to 415 of the family's 1533-position model. The record is from RNAcentral.
GACGAACGCUGGCGGCGUGCUUAACACAUGCAAGUCGAGCGGUAAGGCCCUUUCGGGGGUACACGAGCGGCGAACGGGUGAGUAACACGUGGGUGACCUGCCCUCAGCUCUGGGAUAAGCCUGGGAAACCGGGUCUAAUACCGGAUAUGACUCCAUGACGCAUGUUGUGGGGUGGAAAGCCUUGUGCGGCUGAGGAUGGGCCCGCGGCCUAUCAGCUUGUUGGUGGGGUGAUGGCCUACCAAGGCGACGACGGGUAGCCGGCCUGAGAGGGCGACCGGUCACACUGGGACUGAGACACGGCCCAGACUCCUACGGGAGGCAGCAGUGGGGAAUCUUGCGCAAUGGGCGAAAGCCUGACGCAGCGACGCCGCGUGAGGGAUGACGGG